RNAcentral lists this long non-coding RNA (208 nucleotides) under Linum usitatissimum (flax). RNAcentral describes it as "long non-coding RNA (LUSI_LNC004539)". The record is from RNAcentral. Lineage: Eukaryota; Viridiplantae; Streptophyta; Magnoliopsida; Malpighiales; Linaceae.
ACGACUUUUCUACAACAUCCCUAACUCUCUUCUUAAUCUUACUUUGGGAAUUUGAAGCCAAGUGAGCACUCUCAUUCCUAUCCCGCACCAGCCUCUCCUCCUCUUGCACACAAUGAGAUAUAAGCUCAUCGAGAGACCAUUUGUCUUUCUGAGUAGUAUAUCUCACUUUGAAUUUCCCAAAGUGUGCCGGGAGAGAAACCAAAACAAA